This is a long non-coding RNA of Poecilia latipinna (sailfin molly), 1077 nucleotides long. RefSeq lists it as uncharacterized. The record is from RefSeq and is a predicted model, not a curated record. Lineage: Eukaryota; Metazoa; Chordata; Actinopteri; Cyprinodontiformes; Poeciliidae. The transcript is spliced from 4 exons.
GAAAAAUUAAUUUCUAUUGUUUCUGUUAUGAUGAGUCAAAUAACCCAGACUAUUUCUGUUCACUUUUGACUGAGUAACUUUAUAAACGUCACACACACAUCAUCAUUAUCAUGUUUGUGUUAUUGAUGGUUAAACAUUCUUCAGUUAUUAAAAACCUGCCUAUUUGUGAAACCAGAACCAGUCCGGAUCAGAACCUUCCGGUUCCGGAGGGGAUUCAGCAUCUGGAGCGUCGCUGAGGAAGAGGAUGCUGCAGCCGAAGAUCAGCGCGGAGUUUCUGCUCGGAGCUGAACAAAGAGAGGAGGCGACACGACUCACGGGGCGCGCGCUCACAGGACGCGUGCGCAUUCACGGGGCGCGUUCACAGGAUGCGCGCGCUGUAGUGAAUGCAGGAGCAGCGAGGAGGAGGAGGAAGGCUGAAUGCGCCUCCUGACUGCGCGCUGUCCUCGACACAUAAAGACAGGAGAAGAUCCGGAGACUGAGAGUGAAGGCAUGGCCCAGCGUCACAAAGGAUCCGGACCGGAGCGGAGACCUUGACAGAAAGAGGCUGCAGACUCCAGAGGAAGAAGAGAGGAGGAAGAGCUUGUAGGUUUCCAUGGCGCCGCUCUGUGCUCCUGCAGCAGUCUGUGUCCAGGUGUCUCCAGGACAUGGCUCUGGAGGACGGAGUGUGACGCAUCGCUGGGCGUGAAGAGUCCUCAGCAUCAGGACCAGCAGCAGAAAGCGGACGGCCCACCGCAGCUACAGCCAGAUGGAGCCUAAUGUGGCUGAGAAACGCCAUCGUACCCGGUCCAAAGGAGUUCGAGGUACGACAACCGACUGAUCAAUCUGGAUAAUAUCCAAACCUAGACCCUAACACCAUGAUCUGCCUCCAGUCCAACCAGUACCAGUACCAGACCCAGUAAAGAUCCAUUACCAGUCCCAGUACCACUCCCAGUAAAGACUAAGUACCAGACUUUAACUUAAAAAGAACUUGUUUGAUUUUCCCUCACAGAUUAAAAUUUUUAAGGUAAAUGUCUUCCUGUUAUUUAGCUGCCACUUCCUGUUUCUGAGUUGGUACUUCCUGUUACUUAGCCGUUACUU